UGGCUUCCUCCUCUCAGCAUGCUGGUCCUGGCAAGUCCCAUCACCAGCCAGCCUUCCCAAAGAGGAACGCCUUAGGGUUGGCUCCAGCCCCUCAGCUUCCUCUUUCUUCCCUAGUUCCCUUGCAAGGAUGACCCCAGGGCCCCUGGUUCCCAGCAGCUCCAAGAUGGUGGGAAUCUGAAGGAUGGCAGAACAGAACUGGUACCAAUGGUCUGAAGCCAGCAAGAGGCUGAUUUCAGCUCAAAAAAAGUGUCCAGAUCCAACUGAAGCUCUAUUUCGUCAUCCUUUCCCUCCUUCUCCAAAGUGUGUCGUCUAUCUCUGGUGGUUCCCUGGCUGAUACAAUGUACGUAAACCAGGUUAAUGAUGCUGAAGAUCCCGACUAGAGCACCACAUUCUCAAGUGCACCGUGGGAACUGAUGCUGGCAAGGAUGCAUCCGUUUCCUCCAGGGACAUGGUGACCUGAUCUGCCUUCAGCAGACACAGCGUACUUCGUCUUGCAUUCUUUUUUCACAAAAGGAGUAGUGAGCCCAGAAAUAGGUUGAGUAAUCACUAUCUUGAGAGAGUAUUUGGCAUUUAGAGAAAAACACCAGCUUUGGGAUCAGCCUUCCCCAGCUCUCCUACCUCCCUCUGGCUGAUAUCAGACAAGUUACCAUUCUUUGCCUCAAUAUCUUAGUCUGUCAAAUGGGACAAAACAUAUUUAGUCUACAGGGUUAUUAAAAAGUAACAAAUUUUAAAUGCCUGGUCCAGAGUAUGUCUUUAAUAAAUCUAAAUUCUCU
This is a long non-coding RNA of Rhinopithecus roxellana (golden snub-nosed monkey), 773 nucleotides long. RefSeq lists it as uncharacterized. The record is from RefSeq and is a predicted model, not a curated record. The transcript is spliced from 3 exons. Lineage: Eukaryota; Metazoa; Chordata; Mammalia; Primates; Cercopithecidae.